GACGAACGCUGGCGGCGUGCCUAAUACAUGCAAGUUGAGCGCUGAAGGUUGGUACUUGUACCAACUGGAUGAGCAGCGAACGGGUGAGUAACGCGUGGGGAAUCUGCCUUUGAGCGGGGGACAACAUUUGGAAACGAAUGCUAAUACCGCAUAAAAACUUUAAACACAAGUUUUAAGUUUGAAAGAUGCAAUUGCAUCACUCAAAGAUGAUCCCGCGUUGUAUUAGCUAGUUGGUGAGGUAAAGGCUCACCAAGGCGAUGAUACAUAGCCGACCUGAGAGGGUGAUCGGCCACAGUGAGAAUGAGACACGGCCCAAACUCCUGCGGGAGGCAGCAGUAGGGAAUCUUCGGCAAUGGACGAAAGUCUGACCGAGCAACGCCGCGUGAGUGAAGAAGGUUUUCGGAUCGGAAAACUCUGUUGGUAGAGAAGAACGUUGGUGAGAGUGGAAAGCUCAUCAAGUGACGGUAACUACCCAGAAAGGGACGGCUAACUACGUG
Molecule: ribosomal RNA, 497 nt
Filed under: uncultured bacterium
Lineage: Bacteria
Description: partial 16S ribosomal RNA
Rfam family: Bacterial small subunit ribosomal RNA
Source: RNAcentral